AGCACUCAACCGUUGAAAGUGUUACCACACCUUAAAAAUUUCAGUGUUAGUCAGAGUCCGAAUCGGAAUCUGUUGAAUUUUUCGAAAUAAACAAAGCCAAACUACGAUUGACCAAAAACCCAAAGACUACUGGAUCCUCACCAAUAAAAUACCACAAAAAAUACGCAAAAUUAAAUGAAGUGAAUAUAAAACUAAAACCACCCUGGGCCCUACCAUUGCCCAGGGUAGAAAAUCCUAGAGAACUUUCAUUGUGUUUUGUGCCAGGGCCAGAGCCCUAAUGAAAUUAAAGAUCUUUCAAUAAUGGCACUGCAGGAACCUAUAUACCUUUUAUUAAGCAAUGGAUCCCUCUUUUUUUGAAGAAAAUUCAGAAAAAUCAAGUUACUUUGAAGAAC
This 392-nucleotide unclassified non-coding RNA is filed under the name Drosophila pseudoobscura pseudoobscura. RNAcentral's name for it is "GA11750". Lineage: Eukaryota; Metazoa; Arthropoda; Insecta; Diptera; Drosophilidae. The record is from RNAcentral.